This 495-nucleotide ribosomal RNA is filed under the name uncultured bacterium. RNAcentral's name for it is "partial 16S ribosomal RNA". It matches the Rfam family "Bacterial small subunit ribosomal RNA", at positions 29 to 506 of the family's 1533-position model. The record is from RNAcentral.
AUGAACGCUGGCGGCGUGCCUAAUACAUGCAAGUCGAGCGAACAGAUAAGGAGCUUGCUCCUUUGACGUUAGCGGCGGACGGGUGAGUAACACGUGGGUAACCUACCUAUAAGACUGGGAUAACUUCGGGAAACCGGAGCUAAUACCGGAUAACAUUUGGAACCGCAUGGUUCUAAAGUGAAAGAUGGUUUUGCUAUCACUUAUAGAUGGACCCGCGCCGUAUUAGCUAGUUGGUAAGGUAACGGCUUACCAAGGCAACGAUACGUAGCCGACCUGAGAGGGUGAUCGGCCACACUGGAACUGAGACACGGUCCAGACUCCUACGGGAGGCAGCAGUAGGGAAUCUUCCGCAAUGGGCGAAAGCCUGACGGAGCAACGCCGCGUGAGUGAUGAAGGGUUUCGGCUCGUAAAACUCUGUUAUUAGGGAAGAACAAAUGUGUAAGUAACUGUGCACGUCUUGACGGUACCUAAUCAGAAAGCCACGGCUAACUACGU